AAUACCCACAGACAAGGCACGGGUGGUGGGUCACCAAAGGCUGACCUUACCCCAGCAGAGGACAUGGCCUUGGAGCUAAAUAAAGGCAGGCCCGUCUUAGAGGGGAUCCCUGGGGGGAAAGAGACGAGCAUAGGUUCCUCCCAAGAUGCCACCCGCUUCAUUCAAGCACUGUGUUCCUGUUAGAGCCACCAGCACAAGCACCAGACGAUGCUGAUCCAGGUGAAGGCCCCAGUGCAGCAGCAACAGCACAUGAUGGAGACGAUGAUGAGGAGGAGACCAUCUCUCUGGAUUCCAGAAGGCAUGAGGACCCAGAUGCUAUACAGUGGGAAAACCAGCCUGGCAACAUAAGCUCACAAGCUAUCAGAAAGUUGUAUGGCAACCACCUCCGGCGCCAAAUAGAACUGGCAGACAUAGACAUUCAGUACAAGAAGAGAAAAGAUGGAAAAUCUUGCACUGGAGUCC
This is a long non-coding RNA of Oncorhynchus masou masou (cherry salmon), 462 nucleotides long. RefSeq lists it as uncharacterized. NCBI's taxonomy places the organism in Eukaryota, Metazoa, Chordata, Actinopteri, Salmoniformes, Salmonidae. The transcript has 5 exons. The record is from RefSeq and is a predicted model, not a curated record.